AACGAACGCUGGCGGCAGGCCUAACACAUGCAAGUCGAGCGAGGACUUCGGUUCUAGCGGCGGACGGGUGAGUAACGCGUGGGAAUGUGCCCUUCUCUACGGAAUAGCCCUGGGAAACUGGGAGUAAUACCGUAUACGCCCUUUUGGGGAAAGAUUUAUCGGAGAAGGAUCAGCCCGCGUUGGAUUAGGUAGUUGGUGGGGUAAUGGCCUACCAAGCCGACGAUCCAUAGCUGGUUUGAGAGGAUGAUCAGCCACACUGGGACUGAGACACGGCCCAGACUCCUACGGGAGGCAGCAGUGGGGAAUCUUAGACAAUGGGGGCAACCCUGAUCUAGCCAUGCCGCGUGAGUGAUGAAGGCCUUAGGGUUGUAAAGCUCUUUCAGCUGGGAAGAUAAUGACGGUACCAGCAGAAGAAGCCCCGGCGAACUCCGU
This 432-nucleotide ribosomal RNA is filed under the name uncultured bacterium. RNAcentral's name for it is "partial 16S ribosomal RNA". It matches the Rfam family "Bacterial small subunit ribosomal RNA", at positions 29 to 506 of the family's 1533-position model. The record is from RNAcentral.